UAGAUUGCUCGAUUAAAAAUCAAAAUUCAUUAUUCUCAUUAAUCAUUAUAACUUUUUUCAUUCAACUUUAAUUUGUGAAACAUGAUUAUCAAUUAUAUACAGAAUGAUAUUUGAUACAGCCAUUAUGUUAAUCAAGCAUAUUCUGAUAAGGUUGACCUAUAGAAUGAUGUUGACCAGAUGUUAGACAAAUUUCAAAGAUAGUUGCUAUGGUAAUUAAGGUUAUAGGAAAUCUAAGUGUAAUGGGAUAGUCACUUUUGAGACUAUUUCCUGUCGUGUAAUUGUAAGAAAGCAGUGAUAACAAUGAAAACAAAAGAGAAAAUGGCAUCAUCUACAGAGAAAGAAACAUGGGCAGUAAAAUAAUUUUUAUGAAGAUUUGCUACAGUGGAUUAGAAUUUAACAAAAGACGGAUUCAGAAGAAGUGCCAAAAGAAAGUGUAGCAGAAAUCAAAAGGAACACUCUUGUGAAUACAACCCAUGUUAGAUUACAAAACUAUGAAAUAACUGUAUAAACCUAAUAAAGUGAAAUUACAGAACUAGGAAGUACAUGUAAGUUCAGAACAUGAUGAAGUGAAUUACAAAACUAGGAAAUAGCUGUAUGAACCUAAUGUAGUGAAAUUACAGAACUAGGAAGUACAUGUAAGUGUAUGAACAUGAUGAAGUGAAUUACAAAACUAGGAAAUCACUGUAUGAAUCUGAUGAAGUGAAUUAUAUAACUAGUAAAUAACUGUAUAAACCUGAUGAAGUGAAAUUAUAGAACUAGGAAAUAAUUGUAUGAAUCCGAUGAAGUGAAUUACAGAACUAGGAAGUAAUUGUAUGAACAUGGUGAAGUGAAAUUAUAGAACAAGGAAAUAACUGUAUGAACCUAUGUCAGAAGUGAAUUACAGAACUAGUAAAUAACUGUAUGAACCUGAUGAAGUGAAUUACAUUGACAGAAUUGAAACAUCAUAAAUAUACUUUAUAAUUUUCAUUCUAGAUCUGAUGUUGCAACGUGUAUUUACAUAAAAUUAAAGUUUUGAGAAUUUUCUCCUUGUCUAGAUUAAAUAAAUUAUGUAUUGGUA
This is a long non-coding RNA of Mytilus trossulus (common blue mussel), 1057 nucleotides long. RefSeq lists it as uncharacterized. The transcript is spliced from 2 exons. The record is from RefSeq and is a predicted model, not a curated record. Lineage: Eukaryota; Metazoa; Mollusca; Bivalvia; Mytilida; Mytilidae.